Arachis ipaensis is the source of this 931-nucleotide non-coding RNA. NCBI's taxonomy places the organism in Eukaryota, Viridiplantae, Streptophyta, Magnoliopsida, Fabales, Fabaceae. The record is from RefSeq and is a predicted model, not a curated record.
UGAAACUGUGAGUUGAUUGAAUCUUCUAUUCAUUUUGUUAAAUGACAUGCUGACAACUCUGCUCUGUCACAAGUAACUUCAAAUGUGAAACUUAGUGGCAUCAUAUGAUAGAGAUAGAUGCACUUCGAAAAUAUCAUUAACAACUAUUAUCGAAUAAAGUAAAACUUCUAGGAUUUAUAGUAAAUUUAUAAUGGAUAUGUGAUGAGGAUAAUGACGAAGAAGUUAAUCCUUAUGUGGUCCCUAGUAGCAUAAAAUAAUAUAUCUGUUCUUUAAUUUAAUUUUUGCUCCUGAAUAACAUUUUUUAAUUAUUGAGUUUGUCAAAGCAAGAUUUGGGAGGACUACUUGAUUAUAUUCAUGUGGACUCAUUCGUAAAUUUUUCCCAAUUCAUCUUCCUUACCUUCCCUCGUUUUUGCAUGCAAGUGAAUUUCUUUUCAGUUGAAAUGAUAAAUUAAUUUUAAAUUUUUGGUUCAGUGGGAAUUGACUUGCUUGUAUUAUUGUUGUUCUGCAGGUUUUGUUGUUAAUGAGAAACCUCAUUGUCAACUUGUCUAGCCCUGAAUUUGAGCCGAUGUUGGGCAGAAGAGGAUGUGGAUCCUUCGUUGUUCCCACGUCGCCAGGAGAAAGAGAAAACAUUGAAUGAAUCUUUAGAAGAAUUGGACAACUUUAACUUGGUUUGGCCCUAAUUUUAGACUAGGUUUAUGUUUAUAUUUAGGCAAUUCUGAUAGUGGUUAGCUACAAGAGCAGAUUGUUUUAUACACCUUUAGUGUAUGCCACAGUACAGAUUUUACAGGUUUUCUUUUUUUCAAUAGUAUUUGUUUUGAAUUAUAGUUGAUGUAUCAAUACACUUUGUUGAUAUAUGGUUGUUACUUAUUAUUAUAAUUGAUGUAUCAAUAUACUUUGUUUGUGUUUUGAAUUAUAUUGACUUGUUUAUUUA